RNAcentral lists this non-coding RNA (31 nucleotides) under Rattus norvegicus (Norway rat). The record is from RNAcentral. Lineage: Eukaryota; Metazoa; Chordata; Mammalia; Rodentia; Muridae.
UGAUUUGAUUUGCCUAUACAGAAUCCAAGCU